This 21-nucleotide non-coding RNA is filed under the name Mus musculus (house mouse). Lineage: Eukaryota; Metazoa; Chordata; Mammalia; Rodentia; Muridae. The record is from RNAcentral.
UAGGGUUGCAGAUCCCCCCCC